CAGUGGCAGACACGGAACGAUGGCGCGUGCCGCGCCUAAUUCGAACUACUAGAAAUGAAGGUGGUGUGCUGUCGGGCACUCUGGCAGGAACCGUUACGACGAAGCGGAGUGUUGGAGUUCCCAGGAGGCGCAAACAAAGAAAGCAUUUAUGCGAUCUGUGAGUGCAACGAGGAAAACGUGGCUGCUUCGGAUGAAAAAAAGUAUCUGAGAAGCCUGCAGAAAGUGACCAUGCUUCCAGCAACCCAAUCCCUUGUCCUGAUGCGCUACUUGAACUAAAGGCAAUUGAAGACAUGGUCACAGACCCCUUUUGUAUGGACCUUGGGCGAAUGAAAAUUCUUUUGGCCGCAACUGCAGAGGCCCGCCGCUCCAAUGCACCAGAUAAUUUGCCGUCAUAUUUUUUCAAUCCUGACGUGGUAAGAUCACUCAUGUUUUUCAAAUUUUGUGCGUCUGCUGUGUAAGGUUAAGAGUGCUUUAUUUUGUAAGCUGUGAUUUAUGUUUAGUCGGCUGUGCUGUUUAUAGCAUUUGAUGAAUGGUAAAAAGUGAGUGCUCAUUUACGCAGACCGGCUUGCACUUUAUAACCUUUAACACCAUGAAAAAGCAUUGCUAUAACAAUGAAUGUUCAAAAAUCUAAUCUAAAUCAAAAUGAAUAUGGAAUCAACUCCACUGCUAGAGUAGUUGUGUGAAAGUGAUAUUUUUUCUCAUCAUAUCGUUCAGCAGAAUUAAAGUAUUUGAAGCCAACCUAGGUCCUGUUUUUGCUUCAGUGGGCCAUAAAUUAUCAGUCAAUGUGCAU
Molecule: long non-coding RNA, 790 nt
Filed under: Dermacentor andersoni
Lineage: Eukaryota; Metazoa; Arthropoda; Arachnida; Ixodida; Ixodidae
Description: uncharacterized LOC126519900
Source: RNAcentral